This 293-nucleotide ribosomal RNA is filed under the name uncultured bacterium. RNAcentral describes it as "partial 16S ribosomal RNA". It matches the Rfam family "Bacterial small subunit ribosomal RNA", at positions 505 to 796 of the family's 1533-position model. The record is from RNAcentral.
GUGUCAGCCGCCGCGGUAAUACGGAAGAUCCGAGCGUUAUCCGGAAUUACUGGGCGUAAAGAGUUGCGUAGGUGGCAUAGGAAGCGAGUAGUGAAAGGUCCCGGCUCAACCGGGGAUACAUUAUUCGAACUCCUAAGCUUGAGCAUGAGAGAGGUAGAUGGAAUUUCUAGUGUAGGAGUGAAAUCCGUAGAUAUUAGAAGGAACACCGAUGGCGUAGGCAGUCUACUGGCUCAUUGCUGACACUAAGGCACGAAAGCGUGGGGAGCGAACGGGAUUAGAAACCCGAGUAGUCC